RNAcentral lists this ribosomal RNA (951 nucleotides) under Triticum aestivum (bread wheat). Its description in RNAcentral is "partial small subunit ribosomal RNA". The record is from RNAcentral. Lineage: Eukaryota; Viridiplantae; Streptophyta; Magnoliopsida; Poales; Poaceae.
AUGGAGGUAAACUCUGACUGGACCCCUCCAUUCAAAUUACAGAUACUAGGAUUGACAUCAUGCCAUCUUGGGCCAAGAUUUCCUCAGUGGCUCAAAUCACAGAACAAUGUUUCCUUCUUGUAUAUGUCUCAUGCCGGGAUAGCUGAUGCCAUGCCUGAUUGGUUUUGGACUGUAUUUUCAAAGGCUAAGGGUUUGGACCUCUCAAGCAAUAACAUCAGUGGCACAUUACCAGUUACUCUUGGACAGAUGGAUGCUUCUUGGUUAGACCUAAGCUCGAAUCGAUUCGUUGGUUCGGUACAGCAGGUACCUUAUAAUAUAAUAGGUUUGGAUCUCUCAAGAAACUCUCUGUCAGGGCCUCUGCCAUUAAAUUUCAGCUUCAGCUGGCCAAUGCAAAUACGAAGUUUGUAUCUUUUUGACAACCAUUUCACAGGCUCUAUCCCAGCAUCAUUAUGCCAAAUGAGGUCCUUGAGAUUACUUGACAUUGGAAACAACAUGAUAACAGGUCAGUUCCCUCGAUGUUCAGAAAAUGUGGCAUCAAGUUCAGAAAUGGUCCCGCCUAACACAACCUCUCCGGAUAGUGAUUCAAGCUUUGACAUGCUAUAUUGCAGUAUUAGAACUCUAAGGCUCGACAACAAUAACCUCUCGGAUGAAUUCCCUUUGUUAUUACAGAACUGCCCGGGACUAACUUUUAUUGAUCUUGGGCAAAAUAAGAAUUUUGGAACCAUACCAUCAUGGAUUGGACAGGAAUUACCACAACUAAAAUAUCUGCGCCUCAGGUCCAACAUGUUUUCUGGCCAUAUACCUACCCAGCUUGGAGGACUUCAAUAUCUCCAAUAUUUGGACCUAGCACACAAUAACUUUUCAGGCACUAUACCUCAGUCCCUGCUAAACAUGGAUGGUGCAGUCCAAACCACAACAUUAGCAUUUGUCCUUCCCGUGGCAUGGCUAUAG